Molecule: ribosomal RNA, 497 nt
Filed under: uncultured bacterium
Lineage: Bacteria
Description: partial 16S ribosomal RNA
Rfam family: Bacterial small subunit ribosomal RNA
Source: RNAcentral
GAUGAACGCUGGCGGCGUGCCUAAUACAUGCAAGUCGAGCGAACGGACGAGAAGCUUGCUUCUCUGAUGUUAGCGGCGGACGGGUGAGUAACACGUGGAUAACCUACCUAUAAGACUGGGAUAACUUCGGGAAACCGGGGCUAAUACCGGAUAAUAUUUUGAACCGCAUGGUUCAAAAGUGAAAGACGGUCUUGCUGUCACUUAUAGAUGGAUCCGCGCUGCAUUAGCUAGUUGGUAAGGUAACGGCUUACCAAGGCAACGAUGCAUAGCCGACCUGAGAGGGUGAUCGGCCACACUGGAACUGAGACACGGUCCAGACUCCUACGGGAGGCAGCAGUAGGGAAUCUUCCGCAAAGGGCGAAAGCCUGACGGAGCAACGCCGCGUGAGUGAUGAAGGUCUUCGGAUCGUAAAACUCUGUUAUUAGGGAAGAACAUAUGUGCAAGUAACUGUGCACAUCUUGACGGUACCUAAUCAGAAAGCCACGGCUAACUACGUG